GAUGAACGCUAGCUACAGGCUUAACACAUGCAAGUCGAGGGGAAACGAUAUUGGAAGCUUGCUUCCGAUAGGCGUCGACCGGCGCACGGGUGAGUAACGCGUAUCCAACCUGCCCACCACUUGGGGAUAACCUUGCGAAAGUAAGACUAAUACCCGAUGAUAUCCCUAGAAGACAUCUGAAAGGGAUUAAAGAUUUAUCGGUGAUGGAUGGGGAUGCGUCUGAUUAGCUUGUUGGCGGGGUAACGGCCCACCAAGGCGACGAUCAGUAGGGGUUCUGAGAGGAAGGUCCCCCACAUUGGAACUGAGACACGGUCCAAACUCCUACGGGAGGCAGCAGUGAGGAAUAUUGGUCAAUGGGCGAGAGCCUGAACCAGCCAAGUAGCGUGCAGGACGACGGCCCUAUGGGUUGUAAACUGCUUUUAUAAGGGAAUAAAGUGAGUCUCGUGAGACUUUUUGCAUGUACCUUAUGAAUAAGGACCGGCUAAUUCCGUG
This 492-nucleotide ribosomal RNA is filed under the name uncultured bacterium. RNAcentral's name for it is "bacterial SSU rRNA". It matches the Rfam family "Bacterial small subunit ribosomal RNA", at positions 28 to 507 of the family's 1533-position model. The record is from RNAcentral.